AGGAUAACUCAUGACCAUUGAUGGCAUAUGAGUUGUAUAUCAUGACUAUAGGUAUGAGAGUUUGAGAUCCAC
This is a small nucleolar RNA of Cricetulus griseus (Chinese hamster), 72 nucleotides long. Ensembl annotates it as small nucleolar RNA SNORD113/SNORD114 family. The record is from Ensembl. Lineage: Eukaryota; Metazoa; Chordata; Mammalia; Rodentia; Cricetidae.